RNAcentral lists this ribosomal RNA (436 nucleotides) under uncultured bacterium. RNAcentral describes it as "bacterial SSU rRNA". It matches the Rfam family "Bacterial small subunit ribosomal RNA", at positions 29 to 464 of the family's 1533-position model. The record is from RNAcentral.
AUUGAACGCUGGCGGCGUGCCUAACACAUGCAAGUCGAGCGGUAACAGGUGUAGCAAUACAUGCUGACGAGCGGCGGACGGGUGAGUAACGCUUGGGAAUCUGCCUGUUAGUGGGGGACAACCCGGGGAAACUCGGGCUAAUACCGCAUACGCACUACGGUGGAAAGCCGGGGACCGCAAGGCCUGGCGCUAACAGAUGAGCCCAAGUCGGAUUAGCUAGUUGGUAGGGUAACGGCCUACCAAGGCGACGAUCCGUAACUGGUCUGAGAGGACGACCAGUCACACCGGAACUGAGACACGGUCCGGACUCCUACGGGAGGCAGCAGUGGGGAAUAUUGGACAAUGGGCGAAAGCCUGAUCCAGCGACGCCGCGUGGGUGAAGAAGGCCUGCGGGUUGUAAAGCCCUUUCGGUGGGGAAGAAAAGCCUCGAGUUAAC